Callithrix jacchus (white-tufted-ear marmoset) is the source of this 1974-nucleotide long non-coding RNA. The record is from Ensembl. Lineage: Eukaryota; Metazoa; Chordata; Mammalia; Primates; Cebidae.
GGUUGAAAACACAUGAAGGCUGUGUUCUGCGAGUGGGCAUCUUUUGUGGGUGUCUGUCCAGCUUCCCUUUCCUUCACUUUCCCACUGGGGCCACUCUCCCCCUAUUCUUAGCCUGGGCUAGUGGUGGGCAUAGGAUCCAGUGCUGGACAAUCAGACAUUUGCAUCUUCUUAAUCAUAAUCAUUGAUUAAGAAAUCAGUACAGGCCACAAGCGGAUCCAGUUUACACACCUGGAGCUAUCUUUUCACUAUUUGUGCGAACCCCUGUCCCUCAUUCCCCUCAGUAUCCCUUCUAUGUUUUAUUCAGGACCAGAAAUUGUAGUUCUUUAGAGGACCACCCUUGAACUUCCCCAGCCACAGAGAACUGAAAUGUCCAGAAUUUAUAUCUCCCCUUCCAUUAUUUUAUUUGUUGGUUUAUUUUUUAUACUUUUAACCAGUUAAAAAAGUUAAAAGGUAUUAUUCAUUUACCAUAUACUUCACCCAAUUAUAAGACAAUUCAUUGUUUUUUUUUUUGUCUAUUCACAGAUACGUGGAGCCACAAAUAUAGUCAAUUUUAGAGCAGUUUCAUCCCUAAGCAACUACUAAUCUACUUUCUGUCUCUACAAAUUUUCCUUUUCUGAACAUUUCAUAUAACUUGGAUCACCUAAUAUGUGGUAUCUUGGAACUGACUUACUCAGCAUAAUAUUUUCAAGGUUCAUCCAUGCUCUGACAUCUCAAUCCUUCAUGGCCCCAUUGACAGAACCUCUGCCUUCAUCUACUUGGAGCUGGACUGGCUUGUGUCUGGGUUGUUUGACAGAACAGAGCAGAAGUGAUGCUGCUCAUUCCUGGACUUAGACUUCAAGAGCCUAAGAGGACUGACAGUUCCCACCUUUUGAUUCAUUAUGUGAGAUAUCCAAGUGGUGGUUAGAAUCUUAUCCAGCCUCUUGGUUUUCAAUGUUUUUCAGACCAAUGCAGUUUUAUUUUUCUACAAAAAAGUUUUUUUCUGAUUGUAAAUUAGUUUCUUGAAGAAAAUCUGGAAAAUACAAAAAAAGUGAGAUAAUAAAAAUCACUGGUAAUAUACUUCUUAGUGAUAAACACUACUAACAUUUUGGGAUAUAUUCUUGCAGUUUUGCCUUUGCAACUAAAUCUGUAUCUAGCCAUCAUUUAUCUGUCAAUCAAUUUAUCUUUAUGUAUUUUAUCAAAAAUGUUUGGCUUGAUUUAUAUGUACUUUUCCUAAACUCUGUCAAGUUCCUGACUACAACUGUUCUUCUCCUAUUCUUAGCAGCUUGAGACACUGUGACAAGGUAUUAGAAGGUGUUUGAGUUGAAGAAUUAUUUAUUAAGAAUGAAAGCAUGAAAGAGGAAAGAGAGAACAAGAGCCACAGUUUCCUUUUUAAGAAUAAAAUGUCCAGUCCUUAGCAAAUCCAGUGUCUCCAUCUUUUUAUUCUCAAUGCUGGGUUUCUUAUUUUCCAAGAACCCAUUUUUGUUAAGGGAAUGGAGGGUAUGAGCUACAAAAGAACUUCUCCCCAUGAAAGCACCUAUUCAGCAGAUGCUCCAUUUCCUAAAACCCUUCAUCUAGUUAAAUAAAUGACAGCCAGCAUAGACCUGCAAGUUUCCAAUGAUGAAACUUUUUAAGAUAAUGAGUUCUGCUUCAGGUAGUACCAGGUGAAAUAAAAUCACAGAACACUAUUCUCAAAAGUUGACUGCAAAGGCUGGGGUUAAUUGCAUGAAAGGUGAUGGAGCUGCUGGAGUAGAACAGGUCAGAAUGCACUGGCUGGCAUGGAUGCUAGAUGCCCUGUCUAGAGGUCCCAGGGAGGAGAAUGGCUAAUACCUCAGUAACAUAUAGUAAGUAAAGCCCACCAAUCAUUUGUAGCUCCAGAGUUACACAAAAUAAAUCCUUGGAUAAAGCAUCUGCUCUAUGAGGAUGAUGAGAAGGUGAGCACAAACCAAAGGAAAGGAUACUCUGACAAGCUCAAACUAUUGUAGCUAUGAAGAAUCA